This 124-nucleotide ribosomal RNA is filed under the name Chinchilla lanigera (long-tailed chinchilla). Lineage: Eukaryota; Metazoa; Chordata; Mammalia; Rodentia; Chinchillidae. The record is from RNAcentral.
GUCUAUGGCCAUACCACCCUGAAUGCACCCGAUCUCGUCUGAUCUCGGAAGCUAAGCAGGGUCGGGCCUGGUUAGUACUUGGAUGGGAGGAAAUGUCUAUCAAGAUGUUUUCUUGCUGUAGGUG